GGAAGGCACAGAAUCUGUGAAAAUGCGCCA
RNAcentral lists this non-coding RNA (30 nucleotides) under Mus musculus (house mouse). Lineage: Eukaryota; Metazoa; Chordata; Mammalia; Rodentia; Muridae. The record is from RNAcentral.